Molecule: ribosomal RNA, 253 nt
Filed under: uncultured bacterium
Lineage: Bacteria
Description: partial 16S ribosomal RNA
Rfam family: Bacterial small subunit ribosomal RNA
Source: RNAcentral
UACGGAGGGUGCAAGCAUUGAUCGGAAUUACUGGGCGUAAAGGGCGCGUAGGCGGCAUGGAAAGUCGGAUGUGAAAUUCCGGGGCUCAACCCCGGAGCUGCAUAUGAAACUUCCAAGCUAGAGUACAGUUAGGGAAAACAGAAUUCCACGUGUAGCGGUGAAAUGCGUAGAUAUGUGGAAGAAUACCGGUGGUGAAGACGGUUUUCUGGGCUGUAACUGACGCUGAGGCGCGAAAGCAUGGGGAGCAAACAGG